This 424-nucleotide ribosomal RNA is filed under the name Fusobacteriota bacterium. RNAcentral describes it as "Fusobacteria bacterium partial 16S ribosomal RNA". It matches the Rfam family "Bacterial small subunit ribosomal RNA", at positions 355 to 776 of the family's 1533-position model. The record is from RNAcentral. Lineage: Bacteria; Fusobacteriati; Fusobacteriota.
UGAGGAAUAUUGGUCAAUGGGCGAGAGCCUGAACCAGCCAAGUCGCGUGAAGGAAGACAGUCCUAAGGAUUGUAAACUUCUUUUAUACGGGAAUAACGGGCGAUACGAGUAUUGCAUUGAAUGUACCGUAAGAAUAAGCAUCGGCUAACUCCGUGCCAGCAGCCGCGGUAAUACGGAGGAUGCGAGCGUUAUCCGGAUUUAUUGGGUUUAAAGGGUGCGUAGGUUGUUCGGUAAGUCAGCGGUGAAACCUGAGCGCUCAACGUUCAGCCUGCCGUUGAAACUGCCGGGCUGGAGUUCAGUGGCGGCAGGCGGAAUUCGGGGUGUAGCGGUGAAAUGCAUAGAUAUCACGAGGAACUCCGAUUGCGAAGGCAGCUUGCCAUACUGCGACUGACACUGAAGCACGAAGGCGUGGGUAUCAAACAGG